Molecule: transfer RNA, 73 nt
Filed under: Ovis aries (sheep)
Lineage: Eukaryota; Metazoa; Chordata; Mammalia; Artiodactyla; Bovidae
Rfam family: tRNA
About the family: Transfer RNA (tRNA) molecules are approximately 80 nucleotides in length. Their secondary structure includes four short double-helical elements and three loops (D, anti-codon, and T loops).
Source: Rfam by way of RNAcentral
CCCCUCAUGGUCCAGUAAUGAGGACUCAGCACUUUGACUGCUGAGGGCUCGGGUUAGAUUCCUGGUUGGGGAG